CGGCGGACGGGUGAGUAACGCGUGGGUAACCUGCCUCAUACAGGGGGAGUAACAGUUAGAAAUGACUGCUAAUACCGCAUAAGACCACAGCACCGCAUGGUGCAGGGGUAAAAACUCCGGUGGUAUGAGAUGGACCCGCGUCUGAUUAGUUAGUUGGUGGGGUAACGGCCUACCAAGGCGACGAUCAGUAGCCGACCUGAGAGGGUGACCGGCCACAUUGGGACUGAGACACGGCCCAAACUCCUACGGGAGGCAGCAUG
RNAcentral lists this ribosomal RNA (260 nucleotides) under uncultured bacterium. RNAcentral describes it as "partial 16S ribosomal RNA". It matches the Rfam family "Bacterial small subunit ribosomal RNA", at positions 96 to 353 of the family's 1533-position model. The record is from RNAcentral.